This 497-nucleotide ribosomal RNA is filed under the name uncultured bacterium. RNAcentral describes it as "bacterial SSU rRNA". It matches the Rfam family "Bacterial small subunit ribosomal RNA", at positions 1007 to 1509 of the family's 1533-position model. The record is from RNAcentral.
UGGGAGUGCUCGCAAGAGAGCCUGGACACAGGUGCUGCAUGGCUGUCGUCAGCUCGUGUCGUGAGGUGUUGGGUUAAGUCCCGCAACGAGCGCAACCCUUGCCAUUAGUUGCUACGAAAGGGCACUCUAAUGGGACUGCCGGUGACAAACCGGAGGAAGGUGGGGAUGACGUCAAGUCCUCAUGGCCCUUAUGGGUAGGGCUACACACGUCAUACAAUGGCCGGUACAGAGGGCUGCCAACCCGCGAGGGGGAGCCAAUCCCGUAAAAACCGGUCGUAGUCCGGAUUGCAGUCUGCAACUCGACUGCAUGAAGUCGGAAUCGCUAGUAAUCGCGGAUCAGCAUGUCGCGGUGAAUACGUUCCCGGGUCUUGUACACACCGCCCGUCACACCAUGGGAGCGGGUUCUGCCAGAAGUAGUUAGCCUAACCGCAAGGGGGGCGAUUACCACGGCAGGGUUCGUGACUGGGGUGAAGUCGUAACAAGGUAAGCGUAGCGAG